Molecule: ribosomal RNA, 1451 nt
Filed under: metagenome
Description: bacterial SSU rRNA
Rfam family: Bacterial small subunit ribosomal RNA
Source: RNAcentral
AGGAUUAACGCUAGCGACGUGCCUAAGGUAUGCAAGUCGAACGAUGAAAUUUGAGUAGCAAUACAAGAAUUUCGUAGUGGCAGACGGCUGAGUAACACGUGGGAAUUUCCCCCAAACUCGAGCAUAUCUCACCGAAAGGUGGGGUAAUUCUCGAUAGUCUCGCAAGAGUAAAGCUUCGGCGGUUUGGGAUGAGCCCGCGUCCUAUCAGGUUGUUGGUGAGGUAAUGGCUUACCAAGCCUAUAACGGGUAGCUGGUCUGAGAGGAUGGCCAGCCAGACUGGGACUGAGAUACGGCCCAGACUCCUACGGGAGGCAGCAACUAGGAAUUAUGCACAAUGGACGAAAGUCUGAUGCUGCGACGUCGCGUGGAGGAUGAAGGUCUUCGGAUCGUAAACUCCUUUUAUUGGGGAACAAAUUUUGAGGGUACCCAAUGAAUAAGUGCCUGCUAACCACGUGCCAGAAGCAUCGGUAAUACGUGGGACACAAGCGUUAUCCGGAUUUACUGGGCGUAAAGAGAUGCGUAGGUGUCUUGAUAAGUUCUGUGUUAAAUCCCAAUGCUAACAUUGGAAUCGCAUGGAAAACUAUCAAGAUUGAGCCAAAUAGAGGAAAGGGGAAUUCCUGGUGGAGCGGUUAAAUGCGUUGAUAUCAGGAGGAAUACCAAUGGCGAAGGCACCUUUCUGGAUUUGUGCUGACACUAAGGCUCGAAAGCGUGGGGAGCAAAACGGAUUAGAUACCCGUGUAGUCCACGCUGUAAACAAUCCUCGUUAGAUUUCUGUCUUAGCUCUUUAGAUUUUUCCUUCGGGAAAGGUUUUGGGGCCUGAUGGGAGUCGCAGCUAACGCGUUAAACGAGGCGCCUGGGAAGUACGGCCGCAAGGCUAAAACCCAAAGGAAUUGACGGGGACCCGCACAAGCAGUGGAGCGCCUGGUUUAAUUCGAUGAUCAGCGAAGAACCUCACCUGGGCUUGAACUGUAGCUGCACGCCUCCAGAAAAGGAGGAAGCCUUCGAGGGUGCUAUAGAGUUGGUGCAUGGCUGUCGUCAGCUCGCGUCGUGAGAUGUAGGGUUAAGUCCCACAACGAGCGCAACCCCUACCCGAUGUUAUAAUUACUUCGGGGACUGCCCCGCUUUAACGGGGAGGAAGGAGGGGAUGAUGUCCAGUCAUCAUGUCCCUUAUGUCCAGGGCUACACAGACGCUACAAUGGCUACUACAAUGGGCUGCCAAACCGCGAGGUGGAGCUAAUCCCAUCAAAAGUAGUCUCAGUUCAGAUUGCAGGCUGCAACUCGCCUGCAUGAAGUCGGAAUUGCUAGUAAUCGCGUAUCAGCAUGGCGCGGUGAAUACGUUCUCGGGUCUUGUACACACCGCCCGUCAGGGCAUGGGAGUUGCUCUUGCUCGAAGUUCCUGUUUACCAGGGCCGACAGUAAGGGUGACGACUGGGCUUAAGUCGAACAAGGUA